GGACCAAGGAGUCUAGCAUGUGCGCGAGUCAUUGGGACUUGCUAAACCUAAAGGCGAAAUGAAAGUAAAGGCGCGCCUUGCGCGCGCCUAGGGAGGAUGGGUUGUCGUUACGACGCAACCUCGCACUCCCGGGGCGUCUCGUUCUCAUUGCGAGAUGAGGCGCACCCAGAGCGUACACGCUGGGACCCGAAAGAUGGUGAACUAUGCCUGGUCAGGACGAAGUCAGGGGAAACCCUGAUGGAGGUCCGUAGCGAUUCUGACGUGCAAAUCGAUCGUCGGAACUGGGUAUAGGGGCGAAAGACUAAUCGAACCAUCUAGUAGCUGGUUCCCUCCGAAGUUUCCCUCAGGAUAGCUGGCACUCGCAUAAGCGAGUCUCAUCCGGUAAAGCGAAUGAUUAGAGGCAUUGGGGUCGAAACGGCCUCAACCUAUUCUCAAACUUUAAAUGGGUGAGAUCUCCGGCUUGCUUAAAGCAUGAAGCCGCGAGAUCGGAUCAGAGUGCCAAGUGGGCCACUUUUGGUAAGCAGAACUGGCGCUGUGGGAUGAACCAAACGCCGAGUUAAAGCGCCCAAAUCGACGCUUAUGGGAUACCAUGAAAGGCGUUGGUAACUUAAGACAGCAGGACGGUGGCCAUGGAAGUCGGA
Molecule: ribosomal RNA, 641 nt
Filed under: Bledius femoralis
Lineage: Eukaryota; Metazoa; Arthropoda; Insecta; Coleoptera; Staphylinidae
Description: eukaryotic LSU rRNA
Rfam family: Eukaryotic large subunit ribosomal RNA
Source: RNAcentral